Molecule: non-coding RNA, 114 nt
Organism: Phoenix dactylifera (date palm)
Lineage: Eukaryota; Viridiplantae; Streptophyta; Magnoliopsida; Arecales; Arecaceae
Source: RefSeq, a predicted model, not a curated record
CGUGCCAUCAAUUGGUAUUGGGUCUCUUUCCUCCAGAGAAGCAGAAGGAAGAACAAAUGUUUCUUCAGGAGAUAAGGAGGCCCAUAAAUUGCUUCAGCCAGCAGAUAAGACUCU